Long non-coding RNA from Cyprinodon tularosa, 276 nucleotides. RefSeq lists it as uncharacterized. The transcript has 2 exons. NCBI's taxonomy places the organism in Eukaryota, Metazoa, Chordata, Actinopteri, Cyprinodontiformes, Cyprinodontidae. The record is from RefSeq and is a predicted model, not a curated record.
GACCUCGCUGCAGCAAACAGAAAGGGGCGGGGACGGACCUUUCCGUCAGUCCCAUACCUUAUUUGGAAAUGGGACUAUUGCAUUCCGGAAAUGAAGGGGGCGCUAUUUUCAUAAUCACUAGUAUAAAUGCCUUAAAGACGCGGGGUUAAGAGGAAAGGAAGAAGAAAGAAAGAAGUUUGAAAAGUUUUUGCACUGGUGUUCGGCACACGAUCCAUAAUGCAAAACCCACAAAAUCAACAAAAGGUCCAGAGAAGAACUACAAAAGGAGAGAAAGCG